AAAUUUUAAAGAUGGAUAAAUUAUCCUAAACAUGAUCUACUGAAGACUGCUUUCAUACUUGAUUAUUUGCCAAAUUUCCUCGAUAAUUAAUGGAAUUCUUUUGAAUGAGACAUGUAUAACCACCUGGAAUUUCUUGGCUUUGACCUGACAAGUUUCCUUGUCUUCAGGAUGGUUGUUGUAUUUACGCCUACCAUCAUGUCUUCCUAGUCCCAUUCGACAAUGUAAGUAAGCAACCUGAUGUUUUGGCCUUCCAACAGUCUAUCCUUUGUCUCCCCACCCCACCCUACCUCCUUUCUUGUUUUAUUUAUUUAUUUGCAUCAGAUGGUAACAUGCAUAUAUAUUACCAUUACUUGAUAACACUCAAGUGAAAAAAACUGGGACAGCAAAUGACUCAUGUUUUUCCAAACGCUCAGCCACAUUGCGUUGUAGUCAUAACAAACGGCAGUGUGGCUAUACCAAUGUAUAACAGUAAUAUAUUUUCCAAGUUACAAGUAUAAGCCCAAAGUCUUCCCCUCUUUUAAUGUUUUGACAAGUCUGAUUAUAGCUAAGAAUGUGAUAACGAUCACAUAAGAGCAUGAGAAAAACUGCUUCGGGCACAGGUAAAGGGGCAACGGCUCUCUAUUCACCAAGAAGAAUUUAAGUGGCUUUCUUGGGUCUUUGAGAUACAAAACAAGUUGUUGCCUAGUUCUUUUGAAUCAGCACUACAUUAUUAUAUUCCUUAUACUUUUUUGUUUUUAAUUGAAACUCUAAAGUGGACAUAUGAUACUAUUUAAACUACAGUAUACUGGAAAAUAUUAUCUGCCUUAAUUAUAAAAACAUGGUUUUGGCUUUUUAAAAAAUAUUAAACAUUAUCUUGAGAUACCUGCCACCAUAUUCAAUAUGAUUUUUUCAGCAUUGAUGACAUACUCAUUUGUGCUCUAUUUUGUACUCUUCUUAGAGUAAUUUAUCCUGGUUCAUAGUUUAUAACCUAUAGAAUGCUUAUUACUAAAUAGCUUGAUAUGGAGUGGUGAUUCUGAGGCAUUGUCAAAAUUUGCUAACAUAUUCUAUCAAUGUAGAUUAUUUUAAUUACAUAAUUUUUUUAAGAUGAAGUAUGUUGGAUGCGCUUGAAUGAGUUAUGUUAUACUUCUGUAUAUGACUCAGAAAACAUGGCACAGUUAUCUCGGUUUAAAAAAAAAACUCCAGAAAUGACCAAGAAAAUGGAGGGUAUGUGUUUUCUUUUCUAUGGUGAUGUGGUUCAUAUUAAUGUCAGUAUGCCUUGCCAGCUACAUUUCCAAUUGUGUAUAUAACCCAACUACAAUUAUUAGUCACCACGUGGAGGUUUAUAAGUAGCUUUGGGCAAUGCUAGCAUCCUAUGGUAACCUCGCAUUUUCAAGCAUCCGGAAUGGGGAUCUCUCAGCCUGUGGCUGUUGGACAGCGUCACCCUUAAUAAUACACCAAACACAGGGUUAAAGUACAACCGGUAUAAUUUGUUCACUUGUUACACUUUUAAAUCUGCAAACUUUCUGGUUUUUAUUUUUGUGUUGUUUGUUCUUUAGUUCUCUGGAGGCUGAGUUAUAAAUAACCCCUUACAUUUCUCAGAAGCAGAGACUUUUUAUACAUUUCUUACUUUUAAGAAAGACUUAUUUUCACUGUUUGAAGCCCAUGUAAAUUACAAACGCAAUAGUCUGGAAGAGGAAAAGAGCUUUAGCUUCUAAAUUUGCUUUGUUCUAUGAGAUCUAAAUUCACCCCAUUUGUCCAGCUAUUAUGGCAGAACUCCAUAAUAAAACUAAUUUGGAGAAACAAGGACAUGUACGUCAUUGGCCAUCUGAAUGACAGUAAGAGUGAAUGCCCUAUCUCACUCCAUUUAUCACUAUGUACAAAACAGGCUUGAUUUAUACGUAGUAACACCUAAUUCAUGACAGUGCAAGGCUUUUUGGUAUUUUACUAUAAGGUUAGGCUAUGUAUGAGUCUAACUGACAAAUGUCCUUGAUCAUUUUAUUCAUAUUAAAUAGAGAAUAUUUAGAAGAUAAAGUUAUAAAAGAAUGUACACAUUUUAAAACCUAGAUUUAAACCCAAUUCUGUCAAGGUGAAGGGAGUAAAUUAUUAUCAUUUGAAAGUGUAAGUUUUUUGUUUUUGUUUUGCUUCUUAGGCUACACCUGCAGCCUAUGGAAGUUUCCAGGCUAGGGGUCUAAUUGGAGCUACAGCUUCCAACCUACAAUACAGCCACAGCAAUGCAGGAUCUGAGCCAUGUCUGUGACCUACACCAAAGCUCAUGGCAAUGCCAGAUUCCUGGCCCACUGAGUGAGGCCAGAGAUCAAACCCUCAUUCUCAUGAAUACUUGGAUUUGUUUCUGCUGCACCACAAUGGUAACUCCCAGGUUUUCUUUUUUUUUUUUUUUCUUUUAAAUUUUAGGAACCCUGAAGAAAUUACUUGAUAAAUAGUUCUAAAAGAACAAAAAAACAAGUAUGAAGCAACAUAUUCACAUUUUCGUUCUAGGAUCUGGCCCCAUGAACAUUAUUUAUGCUGGGAUUCUUGGCAAGGUCACUUUGUGUCCUUGGAAAGGUUUAGCAAAUGUGUACAGAAUCAGCCUGUAGGAUGAGGCUUUAAGAGGAUUGAAUAUGCAGAUGACUUCAUUUCCAACAUUAAAUUUGAGUCUACUUGGAAAGUUUGGGAAGGGACCAUAAGCUUUGCCCCUUUUCUUUCUAUUCCAUCUCUUCCUUUUGUGCAUGUUUGGUUACUGUUACAGCAUUCACUAAUAAAAUCAUUUAAAACUUAAGGGAUUAGAAUGCCUGCUGCCAGCAAGCCGCUUUUCUAAGUACUAUAGGGAAGUCAUUCAUGUAUUUAAUACUUCCAAUUUGUCACAUUUGGUGCCUAGGACAUAAUAUUGAAUAUGACACAGGAUGUGUACUCAAGGAAAUUACCUUACAGGGAGGAAGAAAACAAAUAUUUAGGAUUAAAACAUGGUAGUUAUUACUAUAAAUGUAAGAGUAAAAUGCUGGGAAACUAAAUAGAAGGGGAACCUAAUUUAGUGAUGAAGUGAGAAAAAGUAUCCUGGUAGAAGUGACAUCUCAGGUGAGUCCAAAAAGAUAAAUCAAAGUAAAUUUGAUGAAUGCGGAAAAGUGAGAAAGGAAGACAGAAAGUGUGUGCUAAGCAGAGGGAGGGCAUCCACAAACUCCUGGAGGAGAGAGUAAAGAGAAACCCACAGACAAAUGGACAAGAGGAAGAGGCCAAAGGAGAGUCAGAAAGAGAUAAGGGAAAGGGAGAGAAUAAUUAUCAAUGGUUACCUUCAGGAAAUUGCAUGCUCAAUAUGGCUGGAGUAUAGGAUGAGAAUAGGGACAUAGCAAGAGAUAAAACUCAAGAGAUGAGUAGAAUCAGAUAUUAGGGCUUUGCUUUUUGAUUCAGGGAAUUUAAAUUUAUCCCAAGGGAAAUAAUAACCAAUGAAGAUUCUACUGGGGAGUGACAUGGUUAGGUUUGCAAAACCGCUUGGACUUCCGCAUGAGAUUAGGUUGGAGGGAUGCCAGGCUGGAAGUAGAAGCGACUGCAGUGAAUCCUGGAAAAGCAAACUGGUGGUUGAUGCUAUGAGACUGCAUAGACUCCAAAGAUAUUUAAAAGGUAGAAGUGCUGGACUGGUGAUUGAUUGUGUGUAGGUAGGGAAGAAAAAUGAUAAAUUAAGGAUGACACUCUAGUUUCUGAGUUGGAAGAGUAAGUACAUGGGGGUGCCAUUUAUUGACAUCAAAAUCACAAAGGGAGAAAUAGAUUUGAGGGAUAGAAGGAUGAGGAACAUAUAGAAGAUGAUGAGUGUGAAAUACCAAGGUGACAUCCAAGUUGAGAUGCCUAGUAGGACAUUGAAGAUACAGGUUAAUAUCAGGAGAGAGAUCUGAGCUUAAGUUUCUAUAAACCCCUCUUGGAUAUCAUACUGAUAUUCACACAAUAUGACAUAUAGAGUAUAUGGUAACAUGGAACCACAGAGUGGAUGAGAUCAUCUAGGGAGAGUGUAGGUUAAAAAAUAAUAAUAAUACAAAAAUUUAAAAAAAAUUUAAAAAAGAAAGAAAAAGACCUUAAAGUCAAACUCAGGGGUUAAACUGUAAAGUAUAAGAAGAAUUUCAUCAAGGAAUGUUUAAAACAGUAGAAGGAAUGAGAUGUACAAAAAUGACUAUAAGAAAGUUGUGCCCAAGAGUCAACACCCAGGUAUUGGGAAAAGGUAUUGGAGCCAGGAACAGCCUCAUAGAAAAGCGGAUAUUUAGGAGAUUAUUUUGAAAAUUUUAUGUGGAAGUUCUCAGCAAGAUAAUUAAAAAGUUGGGUUGAAGUUGCAUUACAGAAGUUUAAGGGAAACGUCCCUCUGAGUGAAUGUGUCUAGGAAAAACAGAACCAGAAACCUCAAACAGGCACAACCUAGAACCUGCCUGGCCAGACGGUGAGUGGUGAGUACACCUCAGCUGGGGGUGGGUGGGGUCUAGUCAUGUGUGUCUCCUUCACUCGUGAAGGUUUGAACAGUUUCCUGUUUCUCUUUGCGAUGUGUGCAAUGACUAAUAUUUUAAAGUGUUCUGUUAUAAAUGUAGCAUACAUAUGUAAAAAAAUAGGUGUCUGUUGGCACUUAUUUGAAUGCGGCAAGUAUUAUCAUCUUAUUUUGAGCAAGAGGUCUCAUCUCAAUACACAGAGACAGAAACAAGGGGCCUCCUAACAAGUCCCUUGGUAAACUUAUUUAUACAAGCCUUUUUUUCUCCACAACUAGUUAAUCACAGGACUGGGGACUGGGGUUUCAUCACAUUGCAAUGGCUCUUUCUUCACUCUAUUAGUCAUCCAAGUUUGAUCUUUUUUUUAAAAUCUUUUUAGGGUUGCACCCUCAGCAUAAGGAGGUUCCCAGGCUAGGGGUCAAAUCGGAGCUGUAGCCUCUGGCCUACACCACAGCCACAGCGACGUGGGAUCCACGCCAUGUCUGCGACCUAUACCACAGCUCAUGGCAAAACCAGAUCCUUAACCCACUGAGCAAGGCCCCAGAUUGAACCUGUGUCCUCAUGGAUGCUAUUCAGAUUUGUUUCCACUGAGCCUCAACGGGAACUCCAAGUUUGCUUUUUUUUUAAUUUGUGUUAGUUCCUUCAAUACCACUGGCUUUUCAGCCUGCAAAUUAGAUCUCUUUACCAAACGCUAAGCUAUUUUUUUUCUCCUAUCAUUCAAGAUACCACUGGGGAUCAAUCUACUCUAGGAAACCUACUCAAACCACAUAUGGGAAAUACAAUAUACUCCAUGGAGAGAAACAAUGGCAUGGAUAAUUUUUUUUUUCCUCUUUUUUUUUUUUUCCCCACUUUUUAGGGCCCCACCCAGAGCAUAUGGAAGUUCCCAGGCUAGGGGUUGAAUUGGAGCUACAGCUGCCAGCCUACAUACACCAGAGCUCCAGCAAUGUGGGAUCCGAACCAUGUUUGCAACCUACACCACAGCUCAUGGCAACACCGGAUCCCUGACCCACUGACUAAAGCCAGGCCUUGAACCCACAUCCUCAUGGAUACUAGUCAGAUUCAUUUCUGCUGCGCCACAACAGAAACUCCUUGGAUAAUUUAUACAAAUGUUCUUAUUCCAUGAGUUAAGUAAUGCCUUAGGGUAGAUCUAUAUCCUUGGGUCUGAUUUGCUUUAUAGAAUCUCUUCACCACCUCAUUUUCCACGUCCUCUAAUUCAGACCAUAUAUUCUACCUUAUUGCUCAGGUUUGUGUCGUUUUUCCUGAGGAUUCCUCAUCUGCCUUUCCUCGUUGCUGUUCACCUAUGAGUCUAUUAAAAAAAAAAAAAAAACAAGCGGAGAAUAUUCAUAUUCAAAAAUAGCUGGCAAGUAAGAAGAAUUGAUCAAGGCCAGGAAAUGUUUUACUUCUACUCCUAGAAUAGGUUUUAACUUACUAGGUGAUUGAAGGAGACAUAUUAGAGGUGAAAGACCAUAAGCUUUGGGGUUCAUAGACCAAGGAGACCCCACGAUUUGCUUUGUAAUAUUACUUAAGUUAUUUAAUAUUUUCCAGCUCAGAUUCUUCAUCUAAAUUGGUGACAAGAAUACCUACGUGGGAGUUCCUGUCGUGGCACAGUGGUAACGAACCAGACUAGUAUCCAUGAGGACAUGGGUUUGAUCCCUGGCCUCGCUCAGUGGGUUAAGGAUCCAGCAUUGCCACAAACUGUGGUGUAGGUCACAGACGCAGCUUGGAUCUGGUGUUACUGUGGCUGUGUUGUAGGCCAGCAGCUACAGCUCUGAUUCGACUCCUAGCCUAGUAACUUCCAUAUGCCGCAGGUGCAGCCCUAUAAAAACAAACAAAAAGGAAAAAAAAAAAAAAAAAAAAAAAGCUUACAUGGCAGAGGUAUUUUAUUUAUUUAUUUAUUUGUUUGUUUUUAUUUUCACUGUACAGCAUGGGGACCAAGUUACACAUACAUGUAUACAUAAUUUUUCCUCCCAUUGUUGUGUUGUGAUGUAAGUAUCUAGACAUAGUUCUCAAUGCUACGCAGCAGAUCUCAUUGUAAAUCCAUUCCAAGAGCAAUGCAAAUUAUUCAUGUAUUAAUUUUUCUUGGAACUACUACAUAUGCCAUUUCUGUAUUAAACGUAAGAUAUAAAAAUGAAAGCAAUCUCCUGCCUUCAGAGAUCUGUAAUAGAUGAAAAAAAAAACAGAAACAAAAUCAAAUGAUUGAAUAUUUUAAAGUGGUAUGUUGGGAGUGGGUGUAUAAUACAGUGAAGGCAGAAAAAGGGAAAUUUUAUAUUUUACUUUGGAGGAUGGAGAGAUCAGUUAGGGAAAUCAGCCUGUAAAUUAAAGUGCUCAAUUGUAUAUAAAAUAGAUAAUUAACAAGGACCUACUGUAUAACAUAGAGAAAUCUACUCAAUAUUCUAUAAACCAAUAUGGGAAAAAAGAAUGGAUAUAUGUAUAUGUUUAACUGAAUCCUUUUGCUGUACACCUAAGACAAAUACAAUAUUUUAAGUCAACUACACUCCAAUAAAAUUUUUAAAAAAAGGUGUUGACAGUGAGCUAUAGUGGAGGAAGGAUAGGCUAUAAGGAGUAGAUAUUCCACAUAUUCAUUAAUACAGUAAUUCUUUCAGCACACAUUUAUUGUGUGCCCCUUACAUAGUGGUGAGCCUCAUGGUGAAUAAAAAGAGAUGAUUUCUCAGCUAUGCAUGUAUAUCCUGUCCUCACAGUGCAUACAGUCAAUGUGGAAGUGACACAGCUAUGUUAACAGAGCACUCUUAACAGACCUCCACUUAACUGACUUGGCAAAUUAACUAAUACUAUCAAUUGCUUUUGCAAAACAAACUGAUUAAUAUUCCGGGCUCAGUGAAAGCUCACAGCCAGUAGGCUACGCUCCAGUAAGCCUACACACUUCUCCUCUCAUUUGUUGAGUUGCACACUUGCCAAGAAUUAGUUGUGUUUAUGCCCAAACUAUUUAUGACAGUUGACUUAUUAUUGUAACCAUGUAAUAUAAUUAAACGUUGCUUACAUAAUUCAGUGAAAUAGAGUGUAAAAUGAAAGACUUGUUUCUUUGAAAAUUAAGUUGAAUAUUUUGGAAAGACACAAGAGGAAUCAUUGAAAAUAUUUCUAUAAAAAUUAUAAAAAGGUUAUACAACCAGAAAAGACUCAGAAAAAAAGUCUUAAUAAUCCAGAAAAUUUUACAUUCAGAUUAGUUGGCAAAUGUGUAGCUUUUCACUCUGUUUUAAGUUAUCACUCCACUUUAAAUAAAGUGAAACUAAAACUUACACAUGGUGCACUAUGGUGGCUCUUUAACCAACAUACCCAUCUCCAAAUUAAAAUCCAUAGCCUUACAGCAAAAAACUGGUGAUGUGCAUUUAAAGUAUUAGGACAAAAAAUAAAAAAUAAAAACAAAAAACAAACUUUAAGGUAUGUACAUAACAUUUUUAAAGCUCCUCAAUUUGAUUCUACUUUAAUUAUUAGCAGUCAUAUAUGAUGAAAAGCUUCUAGUAGAGAAAUUGAUGUAAUGAUAUGGAAAUACUGGGACCUUAGAAAGAAUUAAUCAAUCCUAGAGAACAAGAGCUCUGAAGCAGAGUAAGCCAGGCCAAGGAAAGAGGUAGGGUAAAGAUAGCAUCCCAUGCAGACAAAACAGAGACCAAAAAAAAAAAAAAAAAAAAAAA
This 8080-nucleotide long non-coding RNA is filed under the name Sus scrofa (pig). Its description in RNAcentral is "lncRNA (ENSSSCG00050056943.1)". Lineage: Eukaryota; Metazoa; Chordata; Mammalia; Artiodactyla; Suidae. The record is from RNAcentral.